Gasterosteus aculeatus aculeatus (three-spined stickleback) is the source of this 354-nucleotide long non-coding RNA. NCBI's taxonomy places the organism in Eukaryota, Metazoa, Chordata, Actinopteri, Perciformes, Gasterosteidae. The record is from Ensembl.
CCGAUGAAAGACUAGUUUCCUGGGAAGUGUUUAGCCACCGCUGGAGAUCCGAGCAGCGUGGGUGAGUCGGGUCGGAGAGGACGAGCGGCUGCAUGCCGCUGCACGUGGGCGGAACAGAAACGGAUCCGCCCCCCUGUGGCUCACCAGCGCGUCCUAACGCCACGACACUCCUGAGCCCCGAAGCCGCGGAGCCUUCACCAGUGAGGCCUCAUGGAAAAACCCAAGUGGACACUGCGAGGAGGCCCAGCUCUGUGGUCCUGGCAGGGGAAUAUGAUGUGAUAAACACACAGUGAACCUUCAAACCAGCGCAGUCAGCCGGUGCCCGGUGGUGAUGGUGAGAGGCCGGCAGUGAGG